UGCAAAGGCCUAGGGAGAUUGGAAGGC
RNAcentral lists this non-coding RNA (27 nucleotides) under Homo sapiens (human). The record is from RNAcentral. Lineage: Eukaryota; Metazoa; Chordata; Mammalia; Primates; Hominidae.